GACGAACGCUGGCGGCGUGCCUAACACAUGCAAGUCGAGCGAAUGAAGUUCCUUCGGGAACGGAUUUAGCGGCGGACGGGUGAGUAACACGUGGGCAACCUGCCUCAUAGAGGGGAAUAGCCUUCCGAAAGGGAGAUUAAUACCGCAUAAGAUUGUAGUACCGCAUGGUACAGCAAUUAAAGGAGCAAUCCGCUAUGAGAUGGGCCCGCGGCGCAUUAGCUAGUUGGUGAGGUAACGGCUCACCAAGGCGACGAUGCGUAGCCGACCUGAGAGGGUGAUCGGCCACAUUGGGACUGAGACACGGCCCAGACUCCUACGGGAGGCAGCAGUGGGGAAUAUUGCACAAUGGGGGAAACCCUGAUGCAGCAACGCCGCGUGAGUGAUGACGGCCUCGGUUGUAAGCUCUGUCUUCAGGGACGAGUAAUGACGGUACCUGAGGAGGAAGCCAACGGCUAACUAACGUGCCAGCAGCCGCGGUAAACCUGUAGUCGU
This 492-nucleotide ribosomal RNA is filed under the name uncultured bacterium. Its description in RNAcentral is "bacterial SSU rRNA". It matches the Rfam family "Bacterial small subunit ribosomal RNA", at positions 28 to 535 of the family's 1533-position model. The record is from RNAcentral.